RNAcentral lists this long non-coding RNA (242 nucleotides) under Chinchilla lanigera (long-tailed chinchilla). Its description in RNAcentral is "lncRNA (ENSCLAG00000026733.1)". Lineage: Eukaryota; Metazoa; Chordata; Mammalia; Rodentia; Chinchillidae. The record is from RNAcentral.
CUUGGCUCUGGCAUAAUGGAGGCUUUAGAGGGCACAGAGAAAAGGUCCUAAACAACCUGAAAUGGCCACUGCAUGGCACAGGCAGAUCUCAGUCAUUGACUGGAAAUCCAAAGUACUGAAGAAUUUCCACUGUUCUGCAGUGUGGGGCCUGCCGACUGUACCUGGAAGCGCUGACUCAAAUUUUUCACCUUGGAUGAAAUGCACUGACACGUCACCCAGCCAAUAAACCAGACUCCCUGUGG